This 137-nucleotide small nucleolar RNA is filed under the name Ornithorhynchus anatinus (platypus). Lineage: Eukaryota; Metazoa; Chordata; Mammalia; Monotremata; Ornithorhynchidae. The record is from RNAcentral.
CCCUUCUCAGGGUUGCACCUGGAGAGUUUCCAGUACUCUACCAGUCUCAACUACAAGAGGAAGAGUCAACGGAGGCAUACCCAUUCCAUUCCUAUCUUGGGCAGUGGCUAGCAAGUGGAAGGCAAUCUGCUACAAGU